This 710-nucleotide ribosomal RNA is filed under the name uncultured cyanobacterium. RNAcentral describes it as "bacterial SSU rRNA". It matches the Rfam family "Bacterial small subunit ribosomal RNA", at positions 66 to 819 of the family's 1533-position model. Lineage: Bacteria; Bacillati; Cyanobacteriota. The record is from RNAcentral.
ACGCAACCCUUCGGGGUUGAGUGGCGGACGGGUGAGUAACGCGUGAGAAUCUGCCUUCAGGUCGGGGACAACCACUGGAGACGGUGGCUAAUACCCGAUGUGCGCAACGUGAAAGAUUUAUCGCCUGAAGAGGAGCUCGCGUCUGAUUAGCUAGUUGGUGGGGUAAAAACUCACCAAGGCGACGAUCAGUAGCUGGUCUGAGAGGAUGAUCAGCCACACUGGGACUGAGACACGGCCCAGACUCCUACGGGAGGCAGCAGUGGGGAAUUUUCCGCAAUGGGCGAAAGCCUGACGGAGCAAGACCGCGUGAGGGAGGAAGGCUCUUGGGUUGUAAACCUCUUUUCUCAGGGAAGAACACAAUGACGGUACCUGAGGAAUCAGCCUCGGCUAACUCCGUGCCAGCAGCCGCGGUAAUACGGAGGAGGCAAGCGUUAUCCGGAAUUAUUGGGCGUAAAGCGUCCGCAGGUGGCACUUCAAGUCUGUCGUCAAAGACUGGGGCUUAACCCUGGAAAGGCGGUGGAAACUGAAGCGCUAGAGUGUGGUAGGGGUAGAGGGAAUUCCCGGUGUAGCGGUGAAAUGCGUAGAGAUCGGGAAGAACAUCGGUGGCGAAGGCGCUCUACUGGACCACAACUGACACUCAGGGACGAAAGCUAGGGGAGCGAAUGGGAUUAGAUACCCCAGUAGUCCUAGCCGUAAACGAUGGAUACUAG